Molecule: transfer RNA, 73 nt
Filed under: Zhuliangozyma blackwelliae
Lineage: Eukaryota; Fungi; Ascomycota; Pichiomycetes; Serinales; Debaryomycetaceae
Description: Candida blackwelliae tRNA-Thr
Rfam family: tRNA
About the family: Transfer RNA (tRNA) molecules are approximately 80 nucleotides in length. Their secondary structure includes four short double-helical elements and three loops (D, anti-codon, and T loops). Further hydrogen bonds mediate the characteristic L-shaped molecular structure. tRNAs have two regions of fundamental functional importance: the anti-codon, which is responsible for specific mRNA codon recognition, and the 3' end, to which the tRNAs corresponding amino acid is attached (by aminoacyl-tRNA synthetases). tRNAs cope with the degeneracy of the genetic code in two manners: having more than one tRNA (with a specific anti-codon) for a particular amino acid; and 'wobble' base-pairing, i.e. permitting non-standard base-pairing at the 3rd anti-codon position.
Source: RNAcentral
GUUGUAUAAGCUUUAUAGGUGAAGCUUCCGUUUUGUAAUCGGAGGAUUAUAGGUUCAAGUCCUAUAUACAACA